CGAGGAUUAAUACUGCGUAACAUUAUAUUAUCGCAUGAUAAAAUAAUCAAAUCUACGGAGGAUACAGAUGGGCAUGCGUGCCAUUAGCUAGAUGGUAAGGUAAUGGCUUACCAUGGCGACGAUGGCUAGGGGUUCUGCAAGGAAGAUCCCCCACACUGGUACUGAGACACGGACCAGACUCCUACGGGAGGCAGCAGUGAGAAAUAUUGGUCAAUGGAGGCAACUCUGAACCAGCCAAGCCGCGUGAAGGAAGACUGUUCUAUGAAUUGUAAACUUCUUUUGUGACAGAGUAAAGAUAGCUACGCGUAGUUAUUUGCAAGUAUGUCAUGAAUAAGCAUCGGCUAACUCCGUGCCAGCAGCCGCGGUAAUACGGAGGAUGCAGGCGUUAUCCGGAUUUAUUAGGUUUAAAGGGUGUUCAGGCUGUCUGGUAAGUCAGAGGUGAAAGUCGGUUGCUUAACGAUCGAAUUGCCUUUGAAACUGUCAGACUUGAGUAUGGAUGCGGUAGGCGGAAUGUGUAGUGUAGCGGUGAAAUGCAUAGAUAUUACACAGAACACCGAUUGCGAAAGCAGCUUACCAAACCAGCACUGACGCUGAAGCACGAAAGCGUGGGUAGCGAACAGGAUUAGAUACCCUGGUAGUCCACGCAGUAAACGAUGCUCACUCGCUGUUGGCAAUAGAUCGUCAGCGGCUAAGGGAAACCGAUAAGUGAGCCACCUGGGGAGUACGAUCGCAAGAUUGAAACUCAAAGGAAUUGACGGGGGCCCGCACAAGCGGUGGAACAUGUGGUUUAAUUCGAUGAUACGCGAGGAACCUUACCUGGGCUUAAAUGUACGAUGCAUAAGUGUGAAAGCACUUUUUCCUUCGGGACUUUGUACAAGGUGCUGCAUGGUUGUCGUCAGCUCGUGCCGUGAGGUGUCGGGUUAAGUCCCAUAACGAGCGCAACCCCUAUUGUUAGUUACCAGCGCGUAAAGGCGGGGACUCUAGCGAAACUGCCGGUGUAAACCGCGAGGAAGGUGGGGAUGACGUCANAUCAGCACGGCCCUUAUGUCCAGGGCUACACACGUGUUACAAUGGC
Molecule: ribosomal RNA, 1075 nt
Filed under: uncultured organism
Description: bacterial SSU rRNA
Rfam family: Bacterial small subunit ribosomal RNA
Source: RNAcentral